UACGAGGUCGAGCGUAACUACGGAUUACUCGGCGGUAAGCGUGCGCAGGCGGUUUGUUAAGCGAGAUGUGAAAGCCCUGGGCUCAACCUAGGAAUAGCAUUUCGAACUGGCGAACUAGAGUCUUGUAGAAGGGGUAGAAUUCCAGGUGUAGCGGUGAAAUGCGUAGAGAUCUGGAGGAAUACCGGUGGCGAAGGCGGCCCCCUGGACAAAGACUGACGCUCAGGCACGAAAGCGUGGGGAGCAAACAGGAUUAGAUACCCCGGUAGU
RNAcentral lists this ribosomal RNA (267 nucleotides) under uncultured bacterium. RNAcentral's name for it is "partial 16S ribosomal RNA". It matches the Rfam family "Bacterial small subunit ribosomal RNA", at positions 524 to 794 of the family's 1533-position model. The record is from RNAcentral.